GUUAGCACAGGUUUGUCAUUUUCCAAAAUCCUGCUUGCUUUAAAUCCUGAUUCCAAUAAUAUCAAUCAUUAAGCUAUAGGUGACACACUCAAGUGAUUUAGUCUAUGCUGAUAUGGUAGUGUCAAUAGUAGUAGUUUAUGGUUUUAUUUCCCUCUGUUAAUUUGGCAGUACGGCUCUGCACUGUCACAGUCAAUAUGUGUGCGUGUGAACCAGAAACCUGCACACCACUAAGGUAUGGGCUCUGGCUAUCAACAGCCGACAAGCCCCAGAUAGCCUUCUCUAUCCCUCUACUUGAGCUUUUUGUUUGUCUGUCACUGGAGUAUCGGGUUUCUGUUGAGGGUUUUUGCAACACCCUGCGCUGGAAAAAUAACCUCACACUUGCAGAGGUAAGUCAGUUUACAGAGGUCAGUUUGAAGUCUUGUCUGUGAAGUGAACAUUUCCGUUACUUUCAUGGAAGACUAAGGAGUCCAUAUUGUAGGGCUGUGCAAUUAAUUGUUUUUGAUUUUCAAUUUAAAUUUUGAUUCAAACAAUUACAAAAACAAGAUAAUUGAGGUAAAACAAUAUUGUGCAACAAUUUUUGUGCAAUUAUAAAUUGCGCACUGCUGGACCGAUGUGUUUGUAAGGCACUUUGAAGGCACUACUGUUUUGACAUGUGUAGCCUAUUUUAACACUUACAUGAUAAAAAGGUUAAAUAAAUGCAUGUUUUCAAAGUCACACACAAAUUGGGAAGCAUACAGUAAGCAGAUUAAACUGUCUUUUCAGAGGUGCAGCUCCUGCAAAGACUAGACAAAGCAGAGAAAUUAUCGAUUCUCGCUCAAGAAGAUAUCUCAUCUUUCAUCAGAGAGGCACCAGUGUUGGUUUCUGAAGGAGACAUGGAGAGAUGGAAAAAAGGGAGAUGUAGCUAGCCCAACAGAAACCAAUAAACACUGUCUGUAGAUGAAAAAGGGACUACAUCAUCAGACUGAUUCAGUUCUACAAGUUCAAAUUGAAGAAGAUGAUGUUUCGAGGAGUCUAAAAAGGCGAGGGAUUGAAGCCGUACAUAUGAAGACUCGGGCAGCUGAGGAAAAGCACAUGCUUUACCAGGAAAUGAGAAGUGUAACUGAACACCUCCAUCAGCAGCAUGCCUUUCUGUGCUCUGCCAUCAAAGACACUGAGCAGCCUGGUGCAAAAGCUGCUCUCAUUCAACGUCUCCAUCAGCUGGAAAGAAAACGACAUCAAGCCAUUGUGAUGUUUCACCCACAUGUACCAGACAUUGUUCCUGCAGACAACCCCCACUUGUGUCAGGCCCUCCCCAUGCCAAGCAUACAGACACUGGUAUACAAUGAUGAUAGUGAUAAUGAUGACAAUGAGGAUGAAUAUGAUAACUAGCACUGCAGAUUUUUUUUUUUUAAUUUCCAGUUGAAUCCUUUGAAACAAAUACUAUAUAGGUUUGUAAAAAAUACAAUUAUUUCCAGAAUGAGUUAUUGUCAUGUUUUCAGCCAUUGUCACAGCACACUUGAGAGGUCAAUGACUCGUACAAUGAUUUUACAGUCAUAAUCCACAAGACAGUGUGUCACAUACAGUAGGUUCUUACAUAAUGAUUAUUGGCUUGAAAUGCUCCUGAAUUAAGUUUGUGGAUUAAUACUUUUUUAUCUUCCCAUUGGCUGCUUUUAUUUUAUUUUUACGUUCUUUGUUCAGUGAAUUUGUAUUACAUUUAGUUUUAUAUAGUUCAUUGCUAUGGUGGUUGCUAUUGACCCUGCUAUCACUGAAACCAUCUAGCCAGAACCGCUGUUUCCAUCCAAAUUCUACCCCAAACCUAACCGUAAAUCACGUAGCUGUAUCCCAUCUAGCCAAAAACACUGUUUUGGCUAAAAUAUCUUAAAAACAGCUUAUUUACAUUUGCUUAAUGUAGAUCAUCUAGAUGUACUAUAAUUAAUAGUUUGGCUGAACUAGAUGUUGAUAUAUUCAGUAGAUAAAUGUUUUUACAGCCCUACUUUGCACACCAGAAAAACUACAAUUUUAGUGCUGAUUAGUGUCAAGCUGCAUUGCGCACCUGUAGGGAAUUGUAGUUUUUAAAACAUUUGUUUUUCUUAUAAUUGGAGGUUGUAAAUAGUGAAUUGAGAGCACAGUGAGGAGUUUAGGGGAUUGUAAACACAUUUAUGCAAUAAAAUGUUAAAUAUUUAAUUGUUUAAUAGGUUUAAAUUCAUUUUAACCAUAUUUGACAGUGUCCCAAGUUGUUGACUAUAUUGACAUGAUAACUGAGGUCAAGAGCUCUCAUUAACAGUUGGUCCCAUGUCUGUAGCCCCUUUUGUUGCCUACUUAUAAGCCUUGAAAAAUGCACCAAGGUGAUAAGCCUUGAAAAAGGUCAGUAUUUCAAAGCAGGCGCCAUGUAGAUUCUUCAUACUGACAUGUUAUUCUCCAGGUCAAGACCUUUCUAACGAUGUAUUUGGCUUAGCUCUACAACAAACUUUUCAUGUUCUCAUUUCAAUGUACUCAAGCCAUCUCAGGUGUAGUUUCAGAGAGCACUUUGAAGGUUCAAUAGGGUUAGAUAAAAUAAAGCUUUUUGUUUGUUUGUUUGUUUGUUUUUGUCUGUUUAUUUCUGGCUGUGUAAACAGACCCCACACCUUGAGGAAUACCUGGUCAGUGGUCCACACACACAAACUGUGCUUUUCUGUUUGGGCUUAUAUGCAUAAUCUAUCUAUUUAUGUUAAUGCUGCUAUGAUAAUUAAAAACAUACCAUUAAUAAAUAAGACCAUAGUCUAAUGGGUAGUUGUCUCUGAUUGUAGGCUACUUGUAGUAGAUGACUAUUAGGCC
Molecule: long non-coding RNA, 2793 nt
Organism: Tachysurus fulvidraco (yellow catfish)
Lineage: Eukaryota; Metazoa; Chordata; Actinopteri; Siluriformes; Bagridae
Exons: 4
Source: RefSeq, a predicted model, not a curated record